AUUGAACGCUGGCGGCAGGCCUAACACAUGCAAGUCGAACGGUAACAGGAAGACGCUUGCUUCUUUGCUGACGAGGGGCGGGUGGGAGAGCGAUAUCUGCGAAACUGCCUGAUAUAAGGGGAUAAAUACUGGAAAAGGUCCCUAAAACCGCAUAACGUCGCAAGACCAAAGAUGCGGACCUUCGGGCCUCUUGCCGGCCGAUGUGCCCAGAUGUGAUUAGCUAGUUGGUGGGGUACCGGCUCACCUAGGCGACGAUCCGUAGCUGGUCUGAGAGGAUGACCAGCCACACUGGGACUGAGACACGGUCCAGACUCCUACGGGAGGCAGCAGUGGGGAAUAUUGCACAAUGGGCGAAAGCCUGAUGCAGCCAUGCCGCGUGUAUGAAGAAGGCCUUCGGGUUGUAAAGUACUUUUGGCCGGGAGGAAGAGAGUAAAGUUAAUAACGAGGCUUAUUGACGUUACCGGAAGAAGAAGCACCGGCUAACUCCGUG
This 490-nucleotide ribosomal RNA is filed under the name uncultured bacterium. RNAcentral describes it as "partial 16S ribosomal RNA". It matches the Rfam family "Bacterial small subunit ribosomal RNA", at positions 30 to 507 of the family's 1533-position model. The record is from RNAcentral.